CUUUAAUAUGUUUCCUGGCUGUGUCUCCAUAGGCACAGUGAACAGAUGCUCAUGGCAACUUCUGCUUUAGAAGCCUCACAGGAAACUGGGGAGGGAAUCAUGUUCCAGCAGUGAAGAACAAAGGCAGUUUUUUGGGGAUUUACAUACGCCAUCUCCUACAAAGUUAAAAAAUUUUCUUUUCCUGAAAGACUACAAUCAAGAUACAAACAUGUACAAUGGGUGAAGUGGAUUAACAAGUUUGUGUCAUGUUAAUUAUAUAUUUCAAUAAAGAUAAUUUUGGAACUAGU
Molecule: long non-coding RNA, 287 nt
Filed under: Homo sapiens (human)
Lineage: Eukaryota; Metazoa; Chordata; Mammalia; Primates; Hominidae
Description: PREDICTED lncRNA (TCONS_00232899)
Source: RNAcentral